GGGGAAGUAGCUCAGUGGUAGGGUACUUGCCUAGCAUGCAAGAGGUACUGGGUUCAAUCCCAGCUCUUUA
This 70-nucleotide transfer RNA is filed under the name Ictidomys tridecemlineatus (thirteen-lined ground squirrel). RNAcentral describes it as "Spermophilus tridecemlineatus (thirteen-lined ground squirrel) tRNA". It matches the Rfam family "tRNA". Rfam says of the family: Transfer RNA (tRNA) molecules are approximately 80 nucleotides in length. Lineage: Eukaryota; Metazoa; Chordata; Mammalia; Rodentia; Sciuridae. The record is from Rfam by way of RNAcentral. RNAcentral also lists the same sequence under 1 other name.